UAGACGCUGGCGGCAGGCUUAACACAUGCAAGUCGAACGAUGGAACCUAGCUUGCUAGGGGAAAUAGUGGCGAACGGGUGAGUAACAUUUAGGAAACUGCCUUAUAGAGGGGGAUAGCUCGGGGAAACUCGAAUUAAUACCGCAUACGUCCUACGGGAGAAAGGAGGCNAGAGCUUUCGCUAUAAGAUGUGCCUAAAUUAGAUUAGCUAGAUGGUGAGGUAAAGGCUCACCAUGGCGACGAUCUAUAACUGGUCUUAGAGGAUGAUCAGUCACACCGGAACUGAGACACGGUCCGGACUCCUACGGGAGGCAGCAGUGGGGAAUAUUGGACAAUGGGGGCAACCCUGAUCCAGCCAUGCCGCGUGUGUGAAGAAGGUCAUAAGAUUGUAAAGCACUUUAAGCAGGGAGGAAGAGCUAGUCAAGAAACNGNCUAGUAGUGACGUUACCUGCAGAAUAAGCACCGGCUAACUCUGUGCCAGCAGCCGCGGUAAUACAGAGGGUGCGAGCGUUAAUCGGAAUUACUGGGCGUAAAGCGGGUGCAGGUGGUGCACUAAGUCAUAUGUGAAAGCCCUGGGCUUAACCUAGGAACAGCAUAUGAUACUGGUGAACUAGAGUAUAUGAGAGGGAAGUAGAAUU
RNAcentral lists this ribosomal RNA (636 nucleotides) under Faucicola atlantae. Its description in RNAcentral is "bacterial SSU rRNA". It matches the Rfam family "Bacterial small subunit ribosomal RNA", at positions 30 to 668 of the family's 1533-position model. The record is from RNAcentral. Lineage: Bacteria; Pseudomonadati; Pseudomonadota; Gammaproteobacteria; Moraxellales; Moraxellaceae.